RNAcentral lists this ribosomal RNA (101 nucleotides) under Pan paniscus (pygmy chimpanzee). The record is from RNAcentral. Lineage: Eukaryota; Metazoa; Chordata; Mammalia; Primates; Hominidae.
AUAUACAGCCAAAUCACCCUGAAAGCAACAGAUCUUGUCUGAUUUUGGAAGCUAAGCAGGGUCUGGCCUGGUUAGUACUUAGAUACAAGUGCCAUUAUUUU